ACGUACGCUGGCGGCACGCCUAACACAUGCAAGUCGAACGAAGUAGCAAUACUUAGUGGCAGACGGGUGAGUAACAUGUGGGUAUCUGCCCUUCGGCCUGGAAUAACACGGGGAAACUUGUGCUAAUACCAGAUAAGUCUUUACAGAGAAAGCUUUAUGCACCGAUGGAUGAGCCCGCACUUGAUUAGUUAGUUGGUGAGGUAAAAGCUCACCAAGACAAUGAUCAAUAGCUGAUUUGAGAGGAUGAUCAGCCACAUUGGGACUGAGACACGGCCUAGACUCCUACGGGAGGCAGCAGUGGGGAAUCUUAG
This 311-nucleotide ribosomal RNA is filed under the name uncultured Pelagibacterales bacterium. RNAcentral describes it as "SSU rRNA". It matches the Rfam family "Bacterial small subunit ribosomal RNA", at positions 29 to 367 of the family's 1533-position model. The record is from RNAcentral. Lineage: Bacteria; Pseudomonadati; Pseudomonadota; Alphaproteobacteria; Candidatus Pelagibacterales.